CAAUUUUAUCUGUUUGUGACGAAGAAAAUUCAUCACAAUAUGUAGACUGAGAUUUCGCAGCGAUCUGUGACUUUUUGCGAGUGUUAAAUUCACGGCAAACUGAAAAAAACUUGUUGUGACCGAAAAAUUCGUCGCAAUACUUAAAAACACCCUCCUUUUAUUCCUUCCGCGCGGCCUCAUUGAAGGUCAUGAACCCAUCCGCUCCCACGAGCCCCUCCCUCUUAUCUUCUCUCUCUCGCGCUCCCUCUCGCACGGCGGCCAUUUCCCUGCAGCAGACCUUCUUUCUCUCUCUCUCUCUCUCUCCACUGCAUAUUUCUUGUGGGAUUUGGGGAUUUCUCCUACGUUUUGUGCAAUUUUGGGUCGCUGCCGAUUUUAGGAUUUGGGGAUAUCUCCUACGUUUUGUGCGAUUUUAGGUCGCUGCCGAGUUUACCCACAUUGUGAGUUCUCUUCAUCUCCCUAGCUCUCAUUCUUUUCCUCUGUAUUUUCCCCUUUCAAAGUCUCUGUUUUCCCUCUUUAUACCUCACGAAUCUAUUUUUACAGAGCCAUCAAUACCUGCCCGUUGUUGGCCCUGCGAUUUUGUUGUUUCCGUGAACAAACCUCUCUCACAUUUGUAAUGCUCUGUCGUUUUUCCCCUCUUUUUCUCUUUAAUUUUUCGGAUUUCUCUUUUAUCUUCAUUGGAUGGUUUUCUUGUAAGGCACAACUUUUAAAUGCGUUAAUGCCGCUAAGAGUAAGACGCAGAAAAUUCUUGGAACUCUAAUUUGCAUUUCUUUUGGUGUCACUACACAAUUUUUAGGUAUAGUAAACUAAGCUUGGGUCUCACUUUUCGCCCAAUUAGUUCGUGGCAUGUAUGAUUGUUUUCAUUGAAUUAUUUUAUGGAUAAUGUUGGAAAGGAGCAGCUGGCUUUGUUAUUCUCUUGUAUAAGAAUCCUUCUACAUACAGUCGGGUCAUGCAAACGUUGCGGAGGCGCUAAGUUUUGACCGUACGGCACAUGGCAGGGUCAUUUCCUCCUCCAAUGACAGUUGCUCUGCUCUGCACUUUACCACCCAUCACAUUCGAAAACCAAAGGAAACUCGGAACUCCAAUCUGCUAUCAUCCACCUCCCUUCCCCUCCGUGAAUUUCAACUCCGUAGCCCCCCGGCUCUGCAGUUUCGGCAUCUCAAAUCGGUUGCAUUUCGUGUUCAAACCAGAUCUUGAGAAGGAGCUUUUCUCGCAAACUGAAUACUCCUUUCAAGAGCCAGUGACAUGGACUUUCCUUCUUCAUCAACAGACAAUAUUCUAGGACAUAUGUCAAUUGGAGGUUGUAUUUGGUUACAUGUUUUUUGGGAUCUGGCUUCCAGCUGACUUGGUCCCCGGUUUCGAGUCUUUCAAGUUUUUUGCAGCAGGUAGAGGAGGCACCAAAAUGGAAAACCCAGAAAACCCACUACCAAAAAUCCAUAUACUCAGAAAACUUACUACCAAAAACCAAACAAACAUUGAAAUGAAGGAAAAAAAAGUAGAUAAUCGAAACCUUAUUUCUGGUAACUCUGAAAUAAAUUAGUGGGGAAAAAGAGACAUGGGGGAUUUUGGAAGAGUUGGAGCAACUUAUGGUAUUUUCGGCCUCCAUUGGUUAUGUAGUAGAGACCUUAUUCUCAAAAUCUUCCAUGAUUGUCUUAAGAGAGGUAAGAAUUCCAUUAGUUCUGUAUUUUCUCUUUUCGUUUCGUCUUCAAAGAGCUAAGAACUCGGGAGCAAUGAAAGAAAGGGAGGGAAAUGGAAGGAGGGAUCACUAAACGGGGCGUUUUGAUUUUUUGCCACAUCGCCUGGUGUUUGCACCGCACUUACCCAAAGCAACUGCAUUUAGCUUUUUUCCUUGUAUAAUUGUUAAGGUGUGGCAGUUUGGGUUAAUUUAAUUGGCUGUACAGGAUGUUUUUAAACUGUUUUGAGUGUUGUAUCCAUGAUGUUUUGAGAAGAUAUUGGUUUUCAGGAUGUCUUAUUGGUGGAUUAAGUAAUGUAAUGUGUGAAAUGGUAGAGUGGGUUACAGACUAUUUUUUACAGUAAUUUUUAUUGUAUUUUGUGGUCUUUGUUCCUGCUUAUUACGAUUUUAUUUCAAUUUUCAAGGCAUGAGAAGUAUUUUGAUAUCAGGCCCUGUGAAUACUUGGAAUUCUUUUCGUUGAAGAGAAGAAAUAAGGUGGACUAUGUUGAGUCUGUGACUGGCAGUCAAGGUAUUAUUAUGUUAGGAUAGAUUUCUGAAUAUUCUGUUGAUGCCUAGGUUUCCUUCAUGCUAUUUGUUCUCAGCUUAUUAUAUAUCUGAACUGGUCUUGGGUUGAAGUAUGUCGUGUAAUUUUUCUAAAUGAAUUGGUAUGAUGCCUAUGCAUAUUCAGACUAUAUUAUUAUAUAAUGACUAUCAUCACUAUCGUCCAUUGUCAUUGGCAUCUUGCUCCUGUACAUUGAGAUAAAUAGACGUUAGGGCUUUUGCCUUUUUUGGUAUAUCUCAUGGAAAUAAUCUAUUAUAUGCUUUUGAGCUUAUCAGUUGUCUUCAGUUGCGGCAUUUUAAUAGGUUAAAGCUGUUACCGAGGAAACCAAAUCUGUGGUUAUUAAAUUUGUACCUACUGUUAUUUCUUUAAUUUACACAGCAUAUACAUCUAUAGAGACAUGCAAAUCUUAACUCAUACAUAGUGAGCAGUACUUCAUAUGAUCAAUCUAUAUUCAUAUGAUCAAUUUAAAUUAAUUUUACAUAAAUGAACAUUAAUGGAAGCAGAACUUCAUUAUAGUGAGCCAAGUGCUCUAUCCUGUAUAACUUUUUGGGGCUAGAUGAUGUUCAAGAGUUGACAGAAAGAUUUUAGAAUUGCUUUAAGAAUUGCUUGAUAUGCUAGGGACUUGGGUAAGGUUGUUGGGUGCAGAUAUUUAUAACUUUAAGAAUUGCUUGCUUUUUAAAAUAUUUUGACUAUGUAAAAUUCGCAGUUCUAAUACCCUUAUGUCUUGUGUUGACAUGGUUUCAUGUCAUUAGGUGUUAGUUUUCCUGCUCUAUCACACAUGGCCAUCAAUAUUCCCUUUGUGGGGUAUAUGGCUCCGAUCUACCUCUUAUCUUCACUGUGCAUGGCAUGCUUUUGGAAAGCAUUUUGGACAUAUGUAGACCAUGACACAUUUACAGUGGUACUAGACCUUGCUUUUGGUUGGCUUGUUUGAGAUGUCAUUUAUAUGGAAUUCAGCUUGAUCGGCUGCAUCACCUCUGAAACAAAGGGAAAAAAGCACAAUUGUUGGACUAGCAGUAAUCUAAUUCAAAGUUUUGGCUUUUUUAACUUUAUCAUUGGCUGAUCAAAGACUAUAUUCUUCAUUACUUGUUAACAUUUAAACUUACAAGGGGUUUUAUCAAAUUGUUAGACCCUUUCAUAAAAUUUAUGAGCUGUAUCAUUGAGUGCAGAAGUAGCUGGCCUGGCCUGAGUGUCUAUUAAAGUCAUUUUUAUUCUUCAUUAGCUCAAUUCUAAUAUUUUUAUAUUUGGGUAGAUAAAUUAUGGUACUAAAUCAUGUUGCUUUUAUUUCUUACUUCUUACUUCUUACGAUCAUUGUUUUAUUUUAUUUUGUGGUAGCAAUAUGGUGAUAUCAGAACUCUGUGCUUAUUACUCGAUCUCUUGAAAUUCUUGUAGUCAAUUGUUUUACUGAUCAUCUGAUCUUUAGCUACUUGCUAGGUGACUACGAUACCAAGCCUAACCUUAUGUUUUUACUUAUCGAGAAAAAAAAAAAAAGAUACCAAGCCUAACCAGAGCAUAAGUGAAGUAGCUAUGUUAAGAGGAGCCUCUAUUUAUUAUUGUUCAGUUUUCUUGGUAACCAAACAGAGAUUAAUAAUGAUGCCGUCUUCGUGGACUGAUACUUUAUUUUCUCUUUAAUUGAUAAUCAAUUCAUAUAUUGUGUGUAAUCCUAAUGAAUUCAUAUAUUAGGUUUAAUCCUUUGUAAAUUCUUGUAGUUGCUGCUAAAGUUUAAUGAUGAGUGACAGAAGAUGGAAAGAGGGCAUUAAAGGAGCAGCAUGGGUGAGGCAGAGGUGACAUCUAUCUGCCUGUUGGUUCCAUGUAAUUUCUUAGUAAGUUAAUUUUUAUUUAUAGUUAAUUGAUGCCUUCCUGGUAUGCAAUGAGAAGGACAUUGCAAAACACCUCAGGGUAAGAUGUUUAAUAUCUCAUGGUUGAAGCGAGUUGUGGAUGUUCCAAGUAUGGUAGGCUAUGAUUGUAAGAAACAUUAGUUGCUUCCCUAUUGUAGUACUUAAUUGCCUUCCAUUAAUGCACCAUGCCAGUGUAUAGAUUACUAUAGUACUCUGAAACUGCUCAUUUGGAUUUAUGAAUGACUAUUCUAUUAAACCAAUUUGUCUCAGUUGCCACUUGGACUUUCUUGUUGUGCUUAAUUUGUAGAACAAAUGGUGAAACUUAGCACGCUCAUUUGGAUCAUCUCAUUAAAUUAUGUUUUCAGUUUCUAAACAUAUAUAUGUACUCCCUUUGUGUUGGAUCAGGUUUACAUAUCCAAUGUUGCAUUUAGUUUAACAAAGCUAGUUUAAUAUAUGUUACAGGAAAUAUGGAAACAGAACUCUUUGUACUAAUGAAAGAAUUCAAAUCGAUAAGAAGGCUCGUAGAAGCAAGGUCUGUACUAGCAUACUAGCAUGAUGAAGAAACUCAAUGGCACUUAUUAAUAAUUAUAAGAACCAUCUAUCUAAUCAUGUACUCUAAAUUCAUUUCAAUUGUGCAAUUUGUCUCCAUACAGGUGCAGUUUUUGCCCAAGCAGGUGCAAUGUAAGCAUACACACAUGCAUCCAUCUAUUAAUAUAUAAAUUGGAGACAUGGAUUUUAUUGUAAGGUUAACAUUAUAACACAUUAUAAAUCUGUACAGAUAUAUGUAUAUAUAUAUUUACACCAAAUAUAUGCAUGCUGGAUUUCUUA
RNA transcript from Carya illinoinensis, 4894 nucleotides. RefSeq lists it as uncharacterized. The transcript has 4 exons. Lineage: Eukaryota; Viridiplantae; Streptophyta; Magnoliopsida; Fagales; Juglandaceae. The record is from RefSeq and is a predicted model, not a curated record.